RNAcentral lists this long non-coding RNA (470 nucleotides) under Chinchilla lanigera (long-tailed chinchilla). RNAcentral describes it as "lncRNA (ENSCLAG00000028217.1)". Lineage: Eukaryota; Metazoa; Chordata; Mammalia; Rodentia; Chinchillidae. The record is from RNAcentral.
CUUGUGCAGCCAGAAUUUUGUUCAUAAAGCCUUUGCCUCUACCAAUGUUUUCAAGAGUUCUACCUAUUUUAUCUUCCAGGAUAUUGGAUUCAUAAUAUCCCAUAGUUAUUGCAGGCUGAGCAGGUCUGCAAUCUCCUGAACAAGUGUACAGCAAAGACUAAAUAAAAAGAGGCAAAUGGAAUGAUUUCAGGGCUCCAGGAGGAUCAAAGCCCUCUCACAGAAUUCAAGAUUCUCUUGGGGCUAAGACCAAGACGUUCUCUGGGUGGCCUGUAUUUAUUUGGUUAUCAGAAGAAGGGAGGCCUGUGAGUCCCUGCUUCAGUUCUCUGAGCUCAGAAACCGACCUUGGCUGCACAGAUGCUGGGAAUCACCCGAGGAGUUAGAAAUACUGGUGUCUGGAGGAAGAUGGUUAUCGGAGGCCAGGGAGGAAGGGAAGGGGAAGAAUUUCAGGUUUGCAAGAUGAACAAGUGCAG